This 253-nucleotide ribosomal RNA is filed under the name uncultured bacterium. RNAcentral's name for it is "partial 16S ribosomal RNA". It matches the Rfam family "Bacterial small subunit ribosomal RNA", at positions 524 to 776 of the family's 1533-position model. The record is from RNAcentral.
UACAGAGGUCUCAAGCGUUGUCCGGAUUUAUUGGGCGUAGAGCGCGUGUAGGCGGCCAGAUAGGUCUGCUGUGAAAACUCGAGGCUCAACCUCGAGCUGUCGGCGGAAACCAUCUGGCUAGAGUCCGGAAGAGGAGAGUGGAAUUCCUGGUGUAGCGGUGAAAUGCGCAGAUAUCAGGAAGAACACCUAUGGCGAAGGCAGCUCUCUGGGACGGUACUGACGCUGAGACGCGAAAGCGUGGGGAGCGAACAGG